Podarcis lilfordi (Lilford's wall lizard) is the source of this 69-nucleotide non-coding RNA. The record is from the annotation of a GenBank genome assembly. Lineage: Eukaryota; Metazoa; Chordata; Lepidosauria; Squamata; Lacertidae.
GGAUAGCUUAGUCGGUAAAGCAUGAGACUCUUCAUUUCAGGGUUUAGGGUUCAAGCCUCAGGUUGGGCA